GAUGAACGCUUUCUUCUUUCCUAAUACAUGCAAGUCGAGCGAACGGACGAGAAGCUUGCUUCUCUGAUGUUAGCGGCGGACGGGUGAGUAACACGUGGAUAACCUACCUAUAAGACUGGGAUAACUUCGGGAAACCGGAGCUAAUACCGGAUAAUAUUUUGAACCGCAUGGUUCAAAAGUGAAAGACGGUCUUGCUGUCACUUAUAGAUGGAUCCGCGCUGCAUUAGCUAGUUGGUAAGGUAACGGCUUACCAAGGCAACGAUGCAUAGCCGACCUGAGAGGGUGAUCGGCCACACUGGAACUGAGACACGGUCCAGACUCCUACGGGAGGCAGCAGUAGGGAAUCUUCCGCAAUGGGCGAAAGCCUGACGGAGCAACGCCGCGUGAGUGAUGAAGGUCUUCGGAUCGUAAAACUCUGUUAUUAGGGAAGAACAUAUGUGUAAGUAACUGUGCACAUCUUGACGGUACCUAAUCAGAAAGCCACGGCUAACUACGUG
This 497-nucleotide ribosomal RNA is filed under the name uncultured bacterium. Its description in RNAcentral is "partial 16S ribosomal RNA". It matches the Rfam family "Bacterial small subunit ribosomal RNA", at positions 28 to 507 of the family's 1533-position model. The record is from RNAcentral.